UUGGUUCGAUUUUGUGGUGGAAACUCGAAACCGUUUUCUCGGAUUUCAAUUCAAAAUUGGGGCUUUCGCGUUAGGGAUGUAAAUCGAAGUCUGGGUUUCGAAUAAUUGCUGUAAAUCGUCAUGGUCGUUUCAUGUAGGGUUCGUUUCUCUGAAUGUUCGAAAGGGAUUUGCGAUUUGUGUGAUUUAAAAUCGAUUUGGGGUUUUUUAUUUAGGGUUCUUAAUCGAUAUGGGAGUUCAAUUGUGGUAAUGUGUGCUAAUAAUCUGUCGUUAAUGUGUGCUAAUAAUUGAAUUGUUGAAGAGGAAACUGUUCAUGGGUCCACAAAAAAAUAUUAAAAAAAUUUGGUGAACCCCAAAGUGGAGUUCACCAAUGCUCAUGCUCUUAGGAGCAGAAAGGGGGGAGAAGCUUUUUCAUAAAUGAGAGAAUUCAUUCACUCGGAUUUCAGAAACAGUAUCAUUGGUUUCUUUUUCUAGUUGAAAGUCAUUGAUUCUUCUCACCGCAAACCCGUUUUUGUCAAUCUUUUAGGUGAAUCCAUUUCAACUGUUUUUUUUUUCUUUCCUUUUUUCUUUUCCUCUGGCUAGAAAGUUUAAUUUUCUUUUCACUAAUUCUGACGUUUUGGCACUAAUCUUUGAAAGUAUUGUGAAAAACAUCUCUAGACACCAUUGAGAUACCUGCACUUUGUUGAAAAUAUUUCAAUUUAUUUAGUUUCUAAAAUUUCAUUUAAUUAGAAAAUUGCAAAUGAUGCUGAUAAAUAAACUAGAUUCGGAUCCGCACAUUUACGCAGAUUUUUUAAUGUAACAGUUUUAAAUUAAUUAAUAUUUAUAUGUACAACUAUUUCAUGUGGUGUUAAAGUUUGGAGUUAUGAAUGGAUUAGAUAUGUUGGAAUAUGUAUCUUUAUCUACGAAUCUAGUACUCCAUUAUGAAAACUAAUUAUGUUGAGAUUUUUUAAGUAAUGUGAUAUAAAUUUAAUAUGUAUUAGAUUGAUUUAAGAUAUUAUAUAUAUAAAUAUAUAUUACGAAAAUAUAUGUUCAUAUUGGUCUCAUGUUAUUUUAGGCUUUGAUAUUUUAUAGUUGAAAUGAUCAAUCUUUUUAACACUAAAUGUUGCUUUCAUAGUAUAUUUCUCCUUAAAUAGAUUAGAUAGUUUUUUAUUGAAAUUAUUGUUGUAAACAUAUUUUUGUUGAUAAAUAAUCAUAUAACCUUUCAGCCAAACAUGUUCAAUUUAUGACCAUUUUUGCAAAAGCGUGAGAAAAGAUUUCCAGCUUCUUUUUUUUUUACUUGGAUAUUUCAAACUUAUUAAUACGACUAAAAGUGGAUAACAUGCAAUUAUUACAGUUAGGUUCAUCUAUCAAUGUUUAUAUACCAAAAGAAAACACUUUCUUAUUUAGAUAAAAGUUCUUUAUUCUUCUUUUUUCUCAAAAGAUCUCCUUUAGCACUUAUUGUAAAAUCUAUCUCCAUUGAUGGUUAAACAUGUCAUGCCAUUAAAGGUGUGUACCAAGUAUGUUCUCCUAACCUUUUUAGAUUGUCGGUUGUUAAUUUUCUUUUACGUCUUUCUUAGCAAGCUGCGACUUUCUUACCUAUAGGAAUAAUGAUAAGUAUUUCUCACAAAUGAAAUGGAUUCACAUGGAAAUGUCACAAAUGUAAUAGAUUCGCAUUGAUAUGAGAUUUUGCAGUGGACAUAAUUCAAAUGUGAUAAAAUUUACUUAAAAUUUUUAAACAGUGGCAUUAGACAUGGCGGACAGGAGAAAUGUGAUGUGAGUCUGCUCCAUGAAUCCUAUCUUUCCUCGCUGUCCACACGCAGUUCGUCUGCCACUCCCGCCAUGUCCAUCUUUUCUCGGUGAAGCUCUCUCCUUUCGAUCAUCUCGACAACUCGGUCCGUCGUGUUGGGUGAGAGUUGUAGCUGUAGCGAUGGCGAUUGCAUCUCCUGAUCAUCUCUUCUACCUGAUUUAGAGAUCACUCAUGAGUGUUGCAUUGCUGCAUGCGUACGCUUACGGUAAGAAUUUAUAGUCGCUUCUUGCCAUCUAACUGGUGGAAUGCUCAUUUCUGUAUGUUUUGGCUUGUGAUAUAUGUUCACGGAGACUGAGAAUGUGGCGUGGAGGCGUGAGCUAUGUUCCCUCUAAAAUCAAGCCUCUUUGACUUCAGUUCUUGCUAGCUCAUCUUGUUGUCCAUGAGUUUGAGUAGUAUGCUUAGCAGUUCAUGCAAGGAGUCUCUUUGUUUUAUUGUGUUCACGGCUCUUAGAGCUUCAAAAAGAAGUAGCAAGGCCUCGAAGUGGUGAUACUGCACCCUUUCAUUUAGCUGACUUUGAAGAGGAGUGGGGUUGUGGAAGUUGAGCGAUGUUAAGGUUUGGUGGUUAAUAUUAUCCCGUCUAAGGCCGGUUCUUGAUUUUGGAAGAGUGUCCUAGCUUAGACUUGAGGACGGUCUUCGAGCGGGCCUCUAUGUUGUUUCAAAGGAAUGGUCUUUUGCUUCGGGUGAAAGGAUGAAAUGGCUUCUUGGUCGGUUGAUCGUGGAUCCACUUUGUCUUGGGUGUGUGACGUGUGUCCCUUCUUCCAGUAGAUGCUCGAUCUCUCAUUCAGGUGCUUUAAGUUUGUAUCGAUUACUUCUAGUGUCACAAUCAUAAUUCCAGUUGCUGCUUGAUCUCUCACAGUCAUACUCUCAUUAAAACAUGCACGUAUCUUACAGUUUGUCAAAUAAAAUACAGUAUGAUUUUUUCUUUGACCAAAAAAAAUAUAUGAUUUUUUUUUUCAAUUCAUAAACUUCAUUAUAUAAAAAGUAAGAAAAAAAAAAGUAGAAUCCUCUUUAAUACUUUUGCAUCAGAAAUGUAAAACCACAUUUGUUAUAAAAGUGAUAAACUACUUUUAAACGGAAAGAAUAAAACUUAUCCUAAAUGGGUUACUUCAAAAAGAAAUCCACCAUGGAAUUAGAUAUCGAAACGAUUUGUAUUAACGUACAUUCCUUAGUUUCUCUCCUAAGAUUGCACAUACCUUAGUUUCUCUCAUAGCCCCAAAUAUAACCAAUGCAUAUUGAUAUUGUGAACUCAAUGCACUAAAUCAUAUUUGAUUGUAACUGGUCAUGAAUUCACGUAGAAAAAGCGUGGGGUUGUCUAAGCCAGUUUGAAGUAGACGUUGUAAAAAAGAGUAAACUACACACAUUGAUCAUGAAAGCAAAUACAAUAAGUAGUAAUUAUAAUUGGAAACGACGUUAAAAGUGUGAGGAGGAAGAAUCAAAACGGCUUGAGUUGAGUGUGUAGUGGGAAAUGAUGGUUCGCUUGACAACAAGACCACACAUGUAUUAUGGCCUCUUUUUACAUGAAUCAUAACACUUCUUCGUGUUUCCGGCAAAAUCAUGUCUAAACUUGCACGCAUUAUCACUUCCUCGUAUUGAAGAAAUGUAUAUAGAAAAAAUUCUGGGAUAUAAAUAAGAUACUCUGUUGCUCGCUUCGUAACAGUUUUCUCAAUCUAUAAGUUAUAUUAUCAAUUGUGGUAAUUUAUUUCGGGUUCAUAACUGUUCAUGGGUCCACAAAAAAAUAUUAAAAAAAUUUGGUGAACCCCAAAGUGGAGUUCACCAAUGCUCAUGCUCUUAGGAGCAGAAAGGGGGGAGAAGCUUUUUCAUAAAUGAGAGAAUUCAUUCACUCGGAUUUCAGAAACAGUAUCAUUGGUUUCUUUUUCUAGUUGAAAGUCAUUGAUUCUUCUCACCGCAAACCCGUUUUUGUCAAUCUUUUAGGUGAAUCCAUUUCAACUGUUUUUUUUUUCUUUCCUUUUUUCUUUUCCUCUGGCUAGAAAGUUUAAUUUUCUUUUCACUAAUUCUGACGUUUUGGCACUAAUCUUUGAAAGUAUUGUGAAAAACAUCUCUAGACACCAUUGAGAUACCUGCACUUUGUUGAAAAUAUUUCAAUUUAUUUAGUUUCUAAAAUUUCAUUUAAUUAGAAAAUUGCAAAUGAUGCUGAUAAAUAAACUAGAUUCGGAUCCGCACAUUUACGCAGAUUUUUUAAUGUAACAGUUUUAAAUUAAUUAAUAUUUAUAUGUACAACUAUUUCAUGUGGUGUUAAAGUUUGGAGUUAUGAAUGGAUUAGAUAUGUUGGAAUAUGUAUCUUUAUCUACGAAUCUAGUACUCCAUUAUGAAAACUAAUUAUGUUGAGAUUUUUUAAGUAAUGUGAUAUAAAUUUAAUAUGUAUUAGAUUGAUUUAAGAUAUUAUAUAUAUAAAUAUAUAUUACGAAAAUAUAUGUUCAUAUUGGUCUCAUGUUAUUUUAGGCUUUGAUAUUUUAUAGUUGAAAUGAUCAAUCUUUUUAACACUAAAUGUUGCUUUCAUAGUAUAUUUCUCCUUAAAUAGAUUAGAUAGUUUUUUAUUGAAAUUAUUGUUGUAAACAUAUUUUUGUUGAUAAAUAAUCAUAUAACCUUUCAGCCAAACAUGUUCAAUUUAUGACCAUUUUUGCAAAAGCGUGAGAAAAGAUUUCCAGCUUCUUUUUUUUUUACUUGGAUAUUUCAAACUUAUUAAUACGACUAAAAGUGGAUAACAUGCAAUUAUUACAGUUAGGUUCAUCUAUCAAUGUUUAUAUACCAAAAGAAAACACUUUCUUAUUUAGAUAAAAGUUCUUUAUUCUUCUUUUUUCUCAAAAGAUCUCCUUUAGCACUUAUUGUAAAAUCUAUCUCCAUUGAUGGUUAAACAUGUCAUGCCAUUAAAGGUGUGUACAAAGUAUGUUCUCCUAACCUUUUUAGAUUGUCGGUUGUUAAUUUUCUUUUACGUCUUUCUUAGCAAGCUGCGACUUUCUUACCUAUAGGAAUAAUGAUAAGUAUUUCUCACAAAUGAAAUGGAUUCACAUGGAAAUGUCACAAAUGUAAUAGAUUCGCAUUGAUAUGAGAUUUUGCAGUGGACAUAAUUCAAAUGUGAUAAAAUUUACUUAAAAUUUUUAAACAGUGGCAUUAGACAUGGCGGACAGGAGAAAUGUGAUGUGAGUCUGCUCCAUGAAUCCUAUCUUUCCUCGCUGUCCACACGCAGUUCGUCUGCCACUCCCGCCAUGUCCAUCUUUUCUCGGUGAAGCUCUCUCCUUUCGAUCAUCUCGACAACUCGGUCCGUCGUGUUGGGUGAGAGUUGUAGCUGUAGCGAUGGCGAUUGCAUCUCCUGAUCAUCUCUUCUACCUGAUUUAGAGAUCACUCAUGAGUGUUGCAUUGCUGCAUGCGUACGCUUACGACUGAGAAUGUGGCGUGGAGGCGUGAGCUAUGUUCCCUCUAAAAUCAAGCCUCUUUGACUUCAGUUCUUGCUAGCUCAUCUUGUUGUCCAUGAGUUUGAGUAGUAUGCUUAGCAGUUCAUGCAAGGAGUCUCUUUGUUUUAUUGUGUUCACGGCUCUUAGAGCUUCAAAAAGAAGUAGCAAGGCCUCGAAGUGGUGAUACUGCACCCUUUCAUUUAGCUGACUUUGAAGAGGAGUGGGGUUGUGGAAGUUGAGCGAUGUUAAGGUUUGGUGGUUAAUAUUAUCCCGUCUAAGGCCGGUUCUUGAUUUUGGAAGAGUGUCCUAGCUUAGACUUGAGGACGGUCUUCGAGCGGGCCUCUAUGUUGUUUCAAAGGAAUGGUCUUUUGCUUCGGGUGAAAGGAUGAAAUGGCUUCUUGGUCGGUUGAUCGUGGAUCCACUUUGUCUUGGGUGUGUGACGUGUGUCCCUUCUUCCAGUAGAUGCUCGAUCUCUCAUUCAGGUGCUUUAAGUUUGUAUCGAUUACUUCUAGUGUCACAAUCAUAAUUCCAGUUGCUGCUUGAUCUCUCACAGUCAUACUCUCAUUAAAACAUGCACGUAUCUUACAGUUUGUCAAAUAAAAUACAGUAUGAUUUUUUCUUUGACCAAAAAAAAUAUAUGAUUUUUUUUU
Long non-coding RNA from Brassica napus (rape), 5843 nucleotides. RefSeq lists it as uncharacterized. The record is from RefSeq and is a predicted model, not a curated record. Lineage: Eukaryota; Viridiplantae; Streptophyta; Magnoliopsida; Brassicales; Brassicaceae. The transcript is spliced from 2 exons.